UGGGGAAUCUUGCGCAAUGGGCGAAAGCCUGACGCAGCGACGCCGCGUGGGUGAUGAAGGCCUUCGGGUUGUAAAGCCCUGUGGGGAGGGACGAACAAGUUGCGACCUAACACGUCGUGACCUUGACGGUACCUCCUUAGCAAGCACCGGCUAACUCUGUGCCAGCAGCCGCGGUAAGACAGAGGGUGCAAACGUUGCUCGGAAUUACUGGGCGUAAAGCGCAUGUAGGCGGCUCCGUAAGUCGGAUGUGAAAUCCCUCGGCUUAACCGAGGAAGGGCAUUCGAUACUGCAGAGCUAGAGUAUCGGAGAGGGUCGUGGAAUUCCUGGUGUAGAGGUGAAAUUCGUAGAUAUCAGGAGGAACACCGGCGGCGAAGGCGGCGACCUGGACGAAUACUGACGCUCAGAUGCGAAAGCGUGGGUAGCAAACAGG
This 430-nucleotide ribosomal RNA is filed under the name uncultured bacterium. RNAcentral describes it as "bacterial SSU rRNA". It matches the Rfam family "Bacterial small subunit ribosomal RNA", at positions 355 to 776 of the family's 1533-position model. The record is from RNAcentral.